ACAGUAUAGAGGCAUCACAGUACUACAGUGUAGAGGCAUCACAGUACUACAGUGUAGAGGCAUCACAGUAUUACAGUGUAGAGGCAUCACAGUACUACAGUGUAGAGGCAUUACAGUAUUACAGUGUAGAGGCAUCACAGUACUACAGUGUAGAGGCAUUACAGUACUACAGUGUAGAGGCAUCACAGUACUACAGGGUAGAGGAAUCACAGUACUACAGUGUAGAGGCAUCACAGUACUACAGUGUAGAGGCAUCACAGUACUACAGUGUAGAGGCAUCACAGUACUACAGUGUAGAGGCAUCACAGUACUACAGUGUAGAGGCAUCACAGUAUUACAGUGUAGAGGCAUCACAGUACUACAGUGUAGAGGCAUCACAGUACUACAGUGUAGAGGCAUCACAGUAUUACAGUGUAGAGGCAUCACAGUACUACCUUCCUACACCUUAAUAAAGCGAAGGAAGCCCAUCUCAGCCUGCACCAUGUGACCUGCAUGGCAGAAUCAGUUGAGAUUUUCACACCUCUGCUGGUGUGUGUUGAUGAGAGCGCUGUGGAGACAGCCUGCACCCUGAGCCCUUCCUAGCAGU
RNAcentral lists this long non-coding RNA (586 nucleotides) under Salmo salar (Atlantic salmon). Its description in RNAcentral is "lncRNA (ENSSSAG00000088073.1)". The record is from RNAcentral. Lineage: Eukaryota; Metazoa; Chordata; Actinopteri; Salmoniformes; Salmonidae.